Molecule: long non-coding RNA, 845 nt
Organism: Cervus elaphus (red deer)
Lineage: Eukaryota; Metazoa; Chordata; Mammalia; Artiodactyla; Cervidae
Exons: 4
Source: RefSeq, a predicted model, not a curated record
GGGGGGCCAUGGAGGGGAGCAUGAUGGCGGGAACCUCACCUUCCAGGAGCGAGAGCAGAGCGCAGAGGAAUCCCAGCCUCAUGACCUCUGGGGUGCCUGGAUCUCCAAGCCUCUGCUCUGUGUCCCUGCUUCUUUAUGUGUGCAGCGGUGAGCACCCAACUCCUGUCCACCAGGACGCCGGCGCAGUGGAACGAGAGGCCAUUGAAGAGGGACACCUGCCAGGGCUGCGAGCCGUGAGCGCACGGGGCGCCGGAGGCCACGACGCGGGAGCUUGUGUCGUUUGCGGGGAGCAGCAGAGCCUCCGAGACUGGAGAAAGAAAGCAGGAGACCGAAGAGGCUGAUUCUGGAGGAGUGAGGAGUGAACCGAGUACAGGACAAGAGGGCGUAGGAGUUCAGUCCCUGGAGGGAACUAGAUUCCACAGCCUUCAACUAAGAGUUCGCCAGCAGCGACUGAAGAUCCCACACGCCAAAGCUAAAAAGAUGCCCCAACUAAAAGUUGCAGCUGUGUGCUGCAACUAAGACCCGGCGCAGCCAAAUAAAUAAAUACAUAUUAAAAAAAAAAAAGACUUGGGAUUAAAAUAGGGCGGAGUAAGAAGGGGCGGGGAGGGGAAAGGCGAGGACAAAGUGGCGGGUGUACUGAUCCUAGCGGAGUGAAAAGCGUUGGGAUAGCUAGGGCGGAGUUAGAAGAGGGGCGGGUCUAAUUUGGGGCCGGGCCUUUCCGGACCGGUGAGUGAGUGCUGGGGGUCCCAAGGGGAGGAGAAGUGCGCAACAGGUUUGGUUUUAACAGCCCACUCUCCCAUCGCCUCCCCGCCACCCGCCCGCUGCUCACCCCAUUCCCCGGCGGC